Cyprinus carpio carpio is the source of this 1510-nucleotide long non-coding RNA. The record is from Ensembl. Lineage: Eukaryota; Metazoa; Chordata; Actinopteri; Cypriniformes; Cyprinidae.
GCGUAGUUGUCUUAGCAAAGGAAGAGACGGGACAGAACUAUACUUUAGAGUGUUUCUGAGUAAACUAAGUAAAGAAAAAAAAACUUUUUAAUGAUUUUUCUAGUUUUGUUAAUCUGGGUAACUUGAUUCACAGAUAUUUAAAGUUACAUUUGGCUACAUUGUAUUAGAUUGUACAAUGAAACUAAGCAAGACAAACCUGAUCUCGCUCUUCACACUGAUUCUGGUAUUUCACACCAUAGCUGUACAAGCAGAAGCUUCUCAUGAUGAUGAUGAUGAUAAUGAUGAGGCUCUGAGGAUCCUGGUUGUGGGAGUCAGAGGUCAGUCCAGAUUCAGUGCUGCAGAUCUUCUGUCAGGAAGGAAAGACGGAGGACAGGAGGACAGAGAGAUUGUAAAGACUCCAGUAAUUACAGACGGGGCUCGUAGAAUGAUGCUGGUCACUGGACCAAACCUCUGUGAGGAGGACACAGAGAGACAGACCUUCACAACAGCGCUGUUUCUCUCGUCUCCUGGACCUCACGCCGUUCUAAUGGUCCUGAAUCUGGAAGAUCAACAAUCACAACAGUGUGAUAUUGAGAAACGAGCCCAGGAGCUGCUGGGAGCAGAAGUCCUGCAGUACUGCAUUGUUCUUCUGCUCCAAAAUCACCAGGAACCUUUGACAGGAGCCUCCAGAGGGAUUGCUGGAGAAAUGAUCAACGCAUGUGGAGGAAGAUUUCACAUCAUAAGAGACUCUGAACCAAAACCUGCUCAAAGAACAACUCUUAUAGCAGAAAUACACAAGUUAGUUUGGUUCAAUGAUCACAGAUUUCACUCAGUAUUGAGACAACUGUUAGAAGCUGAAAAACUGGAGCUUUUACAAAGGCUAAAAGAAAUAGAUGGCAAACUUGGAAAAAGUAAGGUCUCAUCUGCAAUGUGUGACAGUUUAGGUGUGGUCGGAUGGAGUCUGAUAAUUUCACUGAUUGCUCUUGUUUUGGCUACUGAACAGAAGCGCACAGUGUUAAUUUUAGUUGCAACUUUAGCUGGACUCGUGACAUUUAUGUCAUCUUUAAGAAACACUCUAAAUUCACAUGUUGCUUUUUCACUAAAUUUGGCUCUGUGCUCCACAGUUGCGGCAGCCCUUAUAAACUAUCUACCAGUGUGCAAGUCAAAUGAUACAGAAAAAAAAGUUACAGAUUACAUUUUUUUUACACUGACAGUAGGUUUAGGAGUGACCCUUGGAUCAAUCGCAAGCAUAAGGACUUUGUCUGAUGUUUUCACUGCAUGCUGUGCUGCUUUUGGAGUCACGAUUGGAGCUUAUGAAUUCAUAAAUUUAUCAUUCGAGCCCCAAAAACUAAAUUUCCAAGAAUUACUCCAGUUAUUUCUGUUUUGUGCAGUAGGUGCUGAACUCACAGUGUUGUGUGUGAUUGUGCUCAGUGCACUGUUUGGAGUGAAACUAACAAUAUUUCUGCUUAUAAUAGUGAUCAGAAUAGCAAAGUCCAUGAAGAAAACUUUAAUUAACCUCCUCCUUUUGUGA